UGUGCAUAUUGUUAUAUUAAUAUAUGAAUGUGCUUCGUUAAAAACGUGGCGUAAUAAAAUUAUAUAUAUAGUAUAACUGCCAAUCGGUGGCCGAUAUAUUAAUAUGUUUGUGACUCGUCUUGGUUAUCAGUACAGGCCAUCGACAUUUGACGGUUUUGUUUUCAGUGGUUGCGACCCGCGGCCUUUAAUUCGUUUUUAUGUUAUCGAGCGCGGGCGGAUGCGGUCGAUGUAAGCUGCGAUGCAUUAGAGAGAUGAGUGAACCGUCUCGUGCCGACAGUGGACUAUAUAAAAUCACCACGGAUGUAGUCCGUUAUUAGUCCACAAUGCUACCACUUGUAUGUCAUUGAAACCCAUUCGAAUAGGCGUGAAAUAAGUGCGCCGUUAGAUACACAGUGCGUAGCAGAGAUACUAUCUUAUUUUAAAAAUGAACAACACAAACAGUAUUUAAUAUAUAUUAUUAAUUCAAUUAUUUUUCCAUGUUACAAAAGUAGAUAUUUAAAGUUUUUGUUUUUAUGUUUUAAAAACAGUAACCCGCUUCCUGCUCCUUCAAAAUUUGUAUCAACUAUUAAAAAAGUGGUUAAUUUGUAUGUAAGUUUAUUUUUUUAAAUUGUUUUAUUAAAUGUUAAAUAAUAAUUAAUUGCAUAAUAGCAAAAUGUGAAACCAACAAUCGCACAUCAGUUAUCAGUUAAAGAUGUAAAAAAAAUGUAUUAAGUGUAAAGCUUUUUCAGAGGAUGAGAAAUAUGCAGCAUGACAUAUGUCUUCUCAUUUAAAAAAUAUUACAGCCACAAGGAUUGAAACUCCUAGUACUUCUGCUGAUGUAGCUCCCGAGAACUCUAUUAUAACACACACUAGACCCAUUCAUGUUCCUUCGAGUUCUGUUUCAUCUCAGUGUGUUGUGGUGGAGAAGAAGAGGAAGAAUCUUUGGAACCCAUUAUUACUAAAGUCGAGACAAAAGAAACAUUAAAGAAAUAUACUGACAAAUUAUGUUGUAUCAUUGGCGGCUAUCAUCCUUAAAAAUAUAGGUGUAACGAAACAUAAGAAGUAACCACCCACCCUCAAUAAUAUUUAUCCAUAUAACAUCCCAUCUACUGAAUAGUUUAUUCAACAUGUUGAAAAAAAAUUUACUAUUAUACUUUUAAAAUAUUCCAAAGUAUUAUUGUAUUAUUCGCUUACGAAAAAUUACAUAGACAACCCACCCCAUCCACCUCUACUAUAGGAUAGUCGAAAAAAAUCCUGGCUACGGCACUGUCAAAUUUUAUUAGGUAUGUAUUAUAUAAGUUUAUUAUAUGUCUAUUAAUUUUUAAUUUAUUUAAUUGUAUACUUGCUAAUCUUGCACGGCGUUGCUCGUGACAAAUUAAAUAAUGCCAAUAAAUUAGUGGAUUAAGGAUUUACCCUGCCUUGCAAGUAGUUGCAACUCCGUUAAAUGUAAACUACACAUAUUUUUAACUCAACCAUUUGAAUAGUUUUACAAAAAUAUAAAAUACAGAUUUAAAAUUAUAUCGAAUUAUUAUGA
Rhopalosiphum padi (bird cherry-oat aphid) is the source of this 1513-nucleotide long non-coding RNA. RefSeq lists it as uncharacterized. Lineage: Eukaryota; Metazoa; Arthropoda; Insecta; Hemiptera; Aphididae. The transcript has 2 exons. The record is from RefSeq and is a predicted model, not a curated record.